This 466-nucleotide ribosomal RNA is filed under the name uncultured bacterium. RNAcentral's name for it is "bacterial SSU rRNA". It matches the Rfam family "Bacterial small subunit ribosomal RNA", at positions 28 to 524 of the family's 1533-position model. The record is from RNAcentral.
GACGAACGCUGGCGGCAUGCCUAACACAUGCAAGUCUAGGGGUAGCAAUACCACUGGCGCACGGGUGAGUAACACGUAGGUUAUCUGCCCCCAUCACAGACAUAACCCCGGGAAACCGGGGCUAAUAUCUGAUGAGGUCGCGAGAUCAAAGCUUCGGCGGAUGGGGAUGAGCCUGCGGCUGAUUAGCUAGUUGGUGAGGUAAUGGCUCACCAAGGCGACGAUCAGUAGCUGGUCUGAGAGGACGAACAGCCACACUGGAACUGAGACACGGUCCAGACUCCUACGGGAGGCAGCAGUGAGGAAUAUUGGUCAAUGGGAGCAAUUCUGAACCAGCAAUGCCGCGUGUGGGAUGACAGGGCUUCGCCUUGUAAACCACUGUCGGACGGGACGAAAGGAGGCCUCGGGCCUCUGGGACGGUACCGUCAAAGGAAGGGUCGGCUAACUACGUGCCAGCAGCCGCGGUAAU